GUAUUCUUUUUGCCAGCGCUUAAUUGCGCGGCGAAAAAACCUUACACACAGUGUUUUUUGUUAUUACAAGAACUUUUGCUUUGGUCUGGACUAGAAAUAGUUUGGGCCAGAGGUUUACUGAACUAAACUUCAAUAUUUAUAUUGAAUUGUUAUUUAUUUAAUUGUCAAUUUGUUGAUUAAAUUCAAAAAAUCUUCAAAACUUUCAACAACGGAUCUCUUGGUUCU
Molecule: unclassified non-coding RNA, 225 nt
Filed under: rhizosphere metagenome
Description: partial ribosomal RNA internal transcribed spacer region
Source: RNAcentral